CUACGGAGGGUGCAAGCGUUACUCGGAAUCACUGGGCGUAAAGCGCGCGCAGGCGGCUAUUUAAGUUGGAUGUGAAAGCCUACGGCUCAACCGUAGAACUGCAUCCAAAACUAUUUAGCUAGAGUGUGGGAGAGGAAGAUGGAAUUAGUUGUGUAGGGGUAAAAUCCGUAGAGAUAACUAGGAAUACCAAAAGCGAAGGCAAUCUUCUGGAACACUACUGACGCUGAGGCGCGAAAGCAUGGGGAGCAAACAGGAUUAGAAACCCUAGUAGUCC
This 274-nucleotide ribosomal RNA is filed under the name uncultured bacterium. RNAcentral describes it as "partial 16S ribosomal RNA". It matches the Rfam family "Bacterial small subunit ribosomal RNA", at positions 523 to 796 of the family's 1533-position model. The record is from RNAcentral.